RNAcentral lists this ribosomal RNA (404 nucleotides) under Actinomycetes bacterium. RNAcentral's name for it is "Actinobacteria bacterium partial 16S ribosomal RNA". It matches the Rfam family "Bacterial small subunit ribosomal RNA", at positions 355 to 776 of the family's 1533-position model. Lineage: Bacteria; Bacillati; Actinomycetota; Actinomycetes. The record is from RNAcentral.
UGGGGAAUUUUGGACAAUGGGCGCAAGCCUGAUCCAGCCAUGCCGCGUGAGUGAUGAAGGCCCUAGGGUUGUAAAGCUCUUUCACCGGUGAAGAUAAUGACGGUAACCGGAGAAGAAGCCCCGGCUAACUUCGUGCCAGCAGCCGCGGUAAUACGAAGGGGGCUAGCGUUGUUCGGAUUUACUGGGCGUAAAGCGCACGUAGGCGGACUAUUAAGUCAGGGGUGAAAUCCCGGGGCUCAACCCCGGAACUGCCUUUGAUACUGGUAGUCUUGAGUUCGAGAGCGGUGAGUGGAAUUCCGAGUGUAGAGGUGAAAUUCGUAGAUAUUCGGAGGAACACCAGUGGCGAAGGCGGCUCACUGGCUCGAUACUGACGCUGAGGUGCGAAAGCGUGGGGAGCAAACAGG